GACGAACGCUGGCGGCGUGCUUAACACAUGCAAGUCGAACGGAAAGGCCCUGCUUUUGUGGGGUGCUCGAGUGGCGAACGGGUGAGUAACACGUGAGUAACCUGCCCUUGACUUUGGGAUAACUUCUGGAAACUUGGGCUAAUACCGGAUAGGAUCUCCUGCUGCAUGGUGGUGGUUGGAAAGUUUCGGCGGUUGGGGAUGGACUCGCGGCUUAUCAUCUUGUUUGUGGGGUAGUGUCUUACCAAGGCUUUGACGGAUAGCCGACAUGUGAGGGUGACCAGCGACAAGGGGACUGAGAUAGGGAGCAGAGGGGAAUGGGAGGCAAGAGUGGGAAAUAUGACACAAUGGGCGGAAGCCUGAGGAAGAAAAGGGGGGUGCGGAAUGAAGGCCUUCGGGUUGAAAAACGAUUUCGACUGAGACGAAGCGUGAGUGACGGUAAUGGGUAAAGAAGCACCGGCUAACUACGUG
This 468-nucleotide ribosomal RNA is filed under the name uncultured bacterium. Its description in RNAcentral is "partial 16S ribosomal RNA". It matches the Rfam family "Bacterial small subunit ribosomal RNA", at positions 28 to 507 of the family's 1533-position model. The record is from RNAcentral.